GAUGAACGCUGGCGGCGUGCCUAAUACAUGCAAGUCGAACGGACGGACGAUAAGCUUGCUGCUCUCUUGUUAGCGGCGGACGGGUGUGUAACACGUGGAUACCGCACCUAUAUGACUGGUAUAACUUCGGGAAACGGGCUCUAAUACCGGAUAAUCUUUUGAUCCGCAUUGUUCAAUAGUGAGAGACGGUGGUUCGGGAUGUUCUCGAGGCUUCCGCGCUUCAUUAGCUAGUUGGUAAGGUAACGGGUUAUCAAGGCGAGGAUGCAUGGCCGACCGGACGGAGGGAUCGCCGGCACUGGAGCUGAGACACGGUCCAGAGGCCUACGGGAGGGAGCAGUAGGGAAUGUUCCGCAAUGGGCGGAAGCCUUACGGAGCAACGCGGCGUGUGAUGUAAAGGUGCUCGGAUCGUAAUAAUCGGUUAUUAGGUGUGAACCUAUGUGGAAUUAACUGUGGCCAUAGUGACGGUAACGAAUCAGAAAGCCCCGGCUAACUACGUG
This 497-nucleotide ribosomal RNA is filed under the name uncultured bacterium. RNAcentral's name for it is "partial 16S ribosomal RNA". It matches the Rfam family "Bacterial small subunit ribosomal RNA", at positions 28 to 507 of the family's 1533-position model. The record is from RNAcentral.